CCUACGGGAGGCUGCAGUGGGGAAUAUUGCGCAAUGGGCGAAAGCCUGACGCAGCGACGCCGCGUGGAGGAUGAAGGUCUUAGGAUUGUAAACUCCAUGGAAGUUUUUAGCGGUACCAUCAGAGGAAGCACCGGCUAACUUCGUGCCAGCAGCCGCGGUAAUACGAAGGGUGCGAGCGUUAUUCGGAAUCACUGGGCGUAAAGGGUGCGUAGAUGGCUUGUUAAGUUCGUUGUUAAAGGCUCUGGCCUAACCGGAGUAUUGCAAUGAAAACUGGCAGACUAGAGGGUGAGAGAGAGAAGUGGAAUUCCCGGAGUAGCGGUAAAAUGCGUGGAUCUCGGGAGGAACACCAAUGGCGAAGGCAGCUUCUUGGUCUUCCUGACAUUGAGGCACGAAAGCGUGGGGAGCAAACAGGAUUAGAUACCCUGUAGUC
Molecule: ribosomal RNA, 430 nt
Filed under: uncultured bacterium
Lineage: Bacteria
Description: partial 16S ribosomal RNA
Rfam family: Bacterial small subunit ribosomal RNA
Source: RNAcentral